Molecule: ribosomal RNA, 590 nt
Filed under: Glutinomyces brunneus
Lineage: Eukaryota; Fungi; Ascomycota; Leotiomycetes; Helotiales; Hyphodiscaceae
Description: eukaryotic LSU rRNA
Rfam family: 5.8S ribosomal RNA (bases 240-393)
Source: RNAcentral
UCUUGGUCAUUUAGAGGAAGUAAAAGUCGUAACAAGGUCUCCGUAGGUGAACCUGCGGAGGGAUCAUUACAGAGUUCAUGCCCUACACGGGUAGAUCUCCCACCCUUUGUUAUCAUUACCUUCGUUGCUUUGGCGGGCCGUCAGGCCUCGGUCAGGCUACCGGCUCUAGCUGGUAAGCGCCCGCCAGAGGACCCCAAACUCUGAAUAUUAGUGUCGUCUGAGUACUAUAUAAUAGUUAAAACUUUCAACAACGGAUCUCUUGGUUCUGGCAUCGAUGAAGAACGCAGCGAAAUGCGAUAAGUAAUGUGAAUUGCAGAAUUUAGUGAAUCAUCGAAUCUUUGAACGCACAUUGCGCCCCUUGGUAUUCCGAGGGGCAUGCCUGUUCGAGCGUCAUUACAACCCUCAAGCAAUGCUUGGUAUUGGGCUCCGCUGCUCACCCAGCCGGCCUUAAAAUCAGUGGCGGUGCCGUUGGGCCCUGAGCGUAGUAAACAUCCUCGCUAUAGGGACCCGGUGGACACUAGCCAUCAACCCCCAUUUUCCAAGUUUGACCUCGGAUCAGGUAGGGAUACCCGCUGAACUUAAGCAUAUCA